UGAACGCUGGCGGCGUGCCUAACACAUGCAAGUCGAACGAGAACGGGUAUAAGUUUACUUAUACUGUCAGCUAAGUGGCGCACGGGUGAGUAAUAUAUAGUUAACCUGCCCCAAAGAAGAGAAUAAUUGUUGGAAACGACUUGUAAUGCUCUAUAUGCCUUUAUCACAUAAGUGAGCAAGGGAAACAUUUAUGGCUUUGGGAUGGGACUGUACGGUAUCAGUUUGUUGGUGAGGUAAUGGCUCACCAAGACUAUGACGCCUAACUGGUUUGAGAGGAUGAUCAGUCAAACUGGAACUGAGACACGGUCCAGACUCCUACGGGAGGCAGCAGUGGGGAAUAUUGCACAAUGGAGGAAACUCUGAUGCAGCAACGCCGCGUGGAGGAUGACACAUUUCGGUGCGUAAACUCCUUUUAUAUGAGAAGAUAAUGACGGUAUCAUAUGAAUAAGCACCGGCUAACUCC
RNAcentral lists this ribosomal RNA (463 nucleotides) under uncultured bacterium. RNAcentral's name for it is "bacterial SSU rRNA". It matches the Rfam family "Bacterial small subunit ribosomal RNA", at positions 30 to 504 of the family's 1533-position model. The record is from RNAcentral.